RNA transcript from Mustela lutreola (European mink), 4238 nucleotides. It is a transcript of the gene named peroxiredoxin like 2C, with no coding region annotated. NCBI's taxonomy places the organism in Eukaryota, Metazoa, Chordata, Mammalia, Carnivora, Mustelidae. The record is from RefSeq and is a predicted model, not a curated record. The transcript is spliced from 7 exons.
CCGCCCUCCGCUCCGCCCCACCCUGCUCCCAGUGCUCCUCCGGGAUUGCUCCGCCCUGAGCUCCGCUCGGCCGCGACCCGGCUCCCCGAACCUGUGCUGUCCGCUUUGGGGACUGUGGGCUCGAACCCCGGCGGGCAGAUGCAGGGUGCAUUGGUCGACCCUGCCCUCGCCGCAGUCACGCGGCAGGUCAGCGGUCGCACCGCCCCAGCCACAGUCCCGAGCGGCCCAGAGCGCGGGCAGCCCCUGGCCGCAGCGGUGGCCGAGCUGCCCGUGCUGGACGCCUCCGGGAGGCAGGUGCCUUUCGGCGCGCUGUUUCGGGAGCGUCGGGCUGUCGUAGUCUUCGUGAGGCAUUUCCUGUGUUACAUUUGCAAGGAAUACGUAGAAGAUCUGGCCAAAAUCCCCAAGAGUUUUUUACAGGAAGCAGAUGUCACUCUAAUAGUGAUUGGACAGUCAUCCUAUCAUCAUAUCGAGCCUUUCUGCAAACUGACUGGGUAUUCUCAUGAAAUCUAUGUUGACCCUGAGAGAGAAAUUUAUAAAAAAUUGGGAAUGAAAAGAGGUGAAGAAAUUGCCUCCUCAGGAAACAGCCCCCACAUAAAAUCGAAUAUACUCUCAGGAAGCAUUCGGAGUCUGUGGAGAGCAGUGACUGGCCCUCUCUUUGAUUUUCAAGGAGACCCUGCUCAGCAGGGUGGAACCCUCAUCUUAGGUCCAGGUAACAACAUCCAUUUUAUACACCGUGAUAAAAAUAGAUUGGAUCACAAACCCAUCAACUCUCUUUUACAGCUUGUAGGAGUUCGGCACGUGGACUUUACAAGCAGACCUUCGGUUAUCCAUGUGUGAUGGUAUAGACUGUGGACCCUUGGAAUAUGACCUGAAAUGUUCAGAGUAUGGUAUUCUUGUGCAAUGUCUAGCUUUUUGGCUUUUCCCAGCCUUUGAGGAGUUAUGAAAACACGAAGAGACUUUAUACCAGUUAUUUUGUGCUAGGAGGCAUCAGUUGUCAAAAACGUGAUACAUAUUUAUAAUUCUGUAGCUUUUAAAAUUUUAUGUAAAAUUAAAGUUUGUUUAUAUAAAACUUUAAAAGCUAUAAAAUUAGAAAUACUAUUCUUUAUUUUACAUUAUGGUAUAUCCAUUAAAUGAAAGUUUCUGUUGGCCAUUAAAAUAAUAAAUUCUUUGAAGAACAUAUAAAUGGAAAGGUAAGCAACUCACCACCAUUUUAUCCAGUGAAAAAAGCAGGAUAUCAAAUUCUAUAAAUAAUAUAAUCUUUUUUAAAAAUUAACAUAUAAUGUAUUAUUAGCUCCAGGGGUACAGUCUGUGAAUAUAAUCAUUUUUAUAUGUUUAUAUUUUUGUAUGCUUAGGAAAAAAGAGAAACACGCCAGAAUAUUGCCAGGAGGUACCUCUGUGUGGUAGGAUUACAGCUGAACUUUUAAUAAAAAAGUGAGGAAAUGACCAGAGCCAAAAGAAGUAGAAACAAUGCUGAUGACCAUGCCCUGAAGCUGUGGCCUGCUCUGUGGUUUGUGCUCAUCCCAGGAAUGUUCCUUGGCCAACUGAAAGGCCUCCUGCAGUAGAGGGUUAAAACUAAGACCACCGCAUAAAGUAUGGCCUGUGACCUAUGCCUGCAACUUGAGACUUCCUGGAGCUUCUAAGAGCUACAGCAGCACCGCAGUCAGAUCCAUCCAUAGACCAAGGAGCCCAGUGAGGAAGUGGUGUAAGACUUCUACAAUGAAUCAGAGGCAACAAAAAUUUUAAUAAAAUGAAAGUGCAUAUUUAAUUUAAAAAGUAAAUAUUUUUGUUUUUCAAAAAGAUUGAUGAUAAGCUAGUAAUCUGCAUAAAAUUUUUAUUUAUAUUACCAUCUACCACUGGGGCCAGAGUGACAACAUGGACCAUGUGAAACUGAGGGACAAACUUCCUAAAGAAGCAGUAUCAUCUACUCUGAAGAAACUAUUUUUUUUAAAGUGUUCCAGAAAAUAAUUAAAGAUGUGCAGUUGCAGAAGGUAUAUUUACAUAUCAUUCUGUGAAAAAUUAGUUUUAGUUUAUUUAAAUAGCCUCCAUGCCCAACAUGGGGCUUGAACUCAUGACCCUGAGAUCAAGAGUCACAUGCUCUACUGACUGAGCCAGACAGGCACCCCUAGGUUUCAUUUAGAACAGACUUCUUUUGGGGCACCUGGGUGGCUCAGUGGGUUAAAGCCUCUGCCUUCAGCUCAGGUCAUGGUCUCAGGGUCCUGGGAUCGAGCCCCACAUCGAGCCCCACAUCAGGCUCUCUGCUCGGCAGGGAACCUGCUUCCUCCUCUUACUCUCUGCCUGCCUCUCUGACUACUUGUGAUCUCUCUGUCAAAUAAAUAAAAUCUUAAAAAAAAAAAAAACAGUUCUUUUAAAUUAAUUUUGUUCAUUUUCAGUUCCAAGUUGUCUUGUACCCAUAUAAAAAGUGGAGUGGCAGCUAUUUAUACGCUGGCUCUGUUAGCAGAAAACUUUGAAAAUAGGUACAAGAUGCCAGUUUUAUAUCUGUAUUAUAUAAAUUUGAAUGAUUACCUAUUGUAUAAAAAUAAUGUCCAUACUAAAAUAAGAAACCUAUAGAGCAUUCUUGGAAUUUGUUGUGUAUACAUAUAAUGUAUAAUUGUGUCCAAGCUGUCAGUCAAAAUAGAUACUAUAAUUGUUAAAAUUUAACACAUUUUUUUUUAAUUUUCUUUUUUUAUUUGACAGAGAGAGAUCACAAGUAAGCAGAGAGGCAGGCAGAGAGAGAGAGAGAGAGGGAAGCAGGCUCCCUGCUGAGCAGAGAGCCCGAUGCGGGACUCGAUCCCAGGACCCUGAGAUCAUGACCUGAGCCGCCGAAGGUAGCGGCUUAACCCACUGAGCCACCCAGGUGCCCCAAAAUUUAACACAUUUUUUAAAACAUUUUUUAUUGUGGUAAAAUACACAUUACAAAAAUUUACCAUUUUAACCAUUUUUAAGUGUACAGUUCAGUGACAUUAAGUAUAUUCAUAGUAUUAUGCAACCAUCAUCACUAUUCAUCUCCAGAAUUUUAUCAUUAUGUCUUACUGUACCCAUUAAAUAAUACCUAUCAUGGCAAUUGCUGUUCUAACUUUCUGCCUCUAUAAACUUGAUGACUCUAGGAACCUCAUGUAAGUGCAGUCAUAUAAUAUUUAUCUGUUUGUAUCUGUGUGAUUUCACUUAGAAUGAAGUCCUCAAGGUUCAUCUGUGUUGUAUUAUGUACCAAAAUUUCAUUCCUUUUUAAGGCUAAAUUAUAUUCCAUUGUACGUAUAUAUAUUUUAUUUAUCCAUUCAUCCCUCAAUGGACAUUGAGAUUAUUUCUACCUUUGGGCUACUGUGAAUAAUGUUACUGUCAACUUUGGUGUACAUGUAUCUGUUUGAUUCCCUGCCUUCAGUUCUUUUGUGUAUAUACCCAGAAGUGGAACUGCUGGGAUAAUAGCGACAUUCCGUGUUUAAGGAACCACCAGACUGUUUCCCAGAGCAGCUGCAUCAUUUUAUGUCCUACCAGCCGUGUACAAGGGUUCCAAUUUCUCUAUAUUCUCACCAACUUAUUUCUAUUUUUUUAGAUGUUUAUUUGUUUAAGAAAUCUCUACAUCCAACCUGGGGCUCAUACUCACAAUCUGGAGAUCAAAGAGUUGUAUGCUUAACUGAGCCAGCCAGGUACCUGUAUUAUUAUUACCUUUUUUUAAAUAAUGGCCAUUCUAAUGGGUGUGAAGUGAUAUCUUACUGUAGUUUUGAUAAAAUUUAUCAAUUUUUAAGCAUGUAUACACAAUAACCAAAGGAAAAAAAAUCUAUGAGCAGUUGAUGUGGAGUAAUAAUUUUUUUAAAGUAAGCUCCAUGCCCAGUGUGGAGCCCCAUGCAGGGCUUAAUCUCACAACCCUGAGAUUGAGACCUGAGCCAAAUCCAAGAGUCAGACACUUAACCAGCUGAGCCGCCCAGGCACCCCAAAAGUAUCCUCCAUCUAACAAAAUUUUUCCUAAGUUUAACAAGUACCUCAGUACCUGAAGAGACACAACAUUCUCCAUUGAAAUGUGGACUAUGGGGUGCCUGGGUGGCUCAGUUGUUAAGCGUCUGCCUUCAGCUCAGGUCAUAAUCCUGGGGUCCUGGGAUCGAGUCCCGCAUGGGGCUCCCUACUCAGCCGGAAGCCUGCUUGUCCCUCUCCUGCUCCCCUUGCUUGUGUCUCCUCUCUCGCUGUAUCUCUCUGUGUCAAAUAAAUAAAAUCUUUAAAUAAAAUGUGGACUACAGAGAAAAAUCAAA